CCCGGUCCCUGGCGCUGACAUGAUUCUUAGUCAGGGGGAAAAGCAGGGCGGUCUCUGUGAGUGUGCCUUGUGUGUAUGUGUGUGAGUGUGAGUGUGUGUUGCAAGGGUUUUGUUGGUAAAGAGAAAAGAUUGGAAGCCCAGCGCAAGCAAGAUCCAUCGAAAGGAAGGGAGGAUCAGCUGCAAAAAAAGGGAAAGAAAGGGCUGAGCUGGAGGUGGGGCUGGGGGGAGGGAAGGAAGGAAGGAAGGAAGGAAGAAGAGAAGAAAGGAAGAAGAGAAGAAAGGGAUCUUUCCGAAUAUAGAUACAUAUACAGGAUCCGAAGCAAUGACUCCAUAAGGAAGAAAGCAAGCCUGGACACAUUGGGAACCCUCGACCCCACCGUCGAUCAAUCCACUUAUUGAUUAUUGCCUCGAUCGAUUGGACGAAUUGGGAUGACGGAUCCGUGGGAUCAUCGAGGAACUCUGGGCAAAGUAUCUUUUUAAAUAUUUUUAAAUAUACCUAUAGAUAUAUAGACUCUACGCAAAUAUAUAUAAAUAUCUCUAUAUAUAUAAAACGACAUCUAUAUUGUGCUAUUUUUUUUUUUGCACCGAAACAGGGAAAUGAGACAUUUUUUAAAAUUUUAGUCGUAAUAAUCAACGGAUUUGGAGCGGAUUUGGAAGACGAAGAUGCUGCUCCAUUGACGCCUCUCUGCUUUUGAUCUCUUUGUCUUCUUCCAAGCCACGACCAGUCAAGUCCAGCUUGGGAUUCGUCUGUUGUGUUCUCUCUCUUGCACCCCUUCUUUGUCUUUGUCUUUUUCUCCCGUUCUUUUCUUGUUCUAUUUUUGGUGGGGUGUCGGAAAAGGGAUUCGGCCAUUCUGAAUCCGAGGUUCGCCCCAGUUUCUCCCUCCGCUUUGGACCAAUGAAGGAACCGGACGCUAUCAAACUUUUCAUCGGACAGAUCCCCCGGAAUUUGGAAGAGAAGGACCUCAAGCCCAUCUUCGAGCAGUUUGGCAAGAUCUACGAGCUGACCGUCAUUAAGGACAAAUACACGGGAAUGCAUAAAGGAUGCGCCUUCUUGACCUACUGCGCCCGGGAGUCGGCCCUCAAGGCCCAAAGCGCGCUCCAUGAGCAGAAGACGCUGCCAGGGAUGAACAGGCCGAUCCAGGUGAAACCGGCGGACAGCGAAAGCAGAGGAGGUAACGACGCAACCGGAGGAGUUUGGGGAGGGUCUCUAAAAGACCGGAAGCUCUUUGUCGGGAUGCUGGGGAAGCAGCAGACGGACGAGGAUGUCCGGAAAAUGUUUGAGCCCUUCGGGAACAUCGACGAAUGCACUGUCCUCCGCGGGCCUGAUGGCACCAGCAAAGGCUGCGCGUUUGUGAAGUUCCAGACCCACGCAGAAGCGCAGGCGGCCAUUAACACGUUGCACGGCAGCCGCACUUUGCCCGGCGCCUCCUCCAGCCUCGUGGUCAAGUUUGCGGACACCGAGAAGGAGCGAGGCCUCCGGCGCAUGCAGCAAGUGGCCAACCAGCUGGGCAUGUUCAGCCCCAUUGCGCUGCAGUUUGGGGCUUACAGUGCCUACACCCAAGCACUAAUGCAGCAACAGGCGGCCCUGGUUGCCGCGCACUCGGCCUACCUCAACCCCAUGGCGACCAUGGCCGCGGUCCAGAUGCAGCAGAUGGCCACCAUCAGCCCCAACGGCCUCAUCGCCACCCCCAUCACCCCCAUCACGCCCUCCUCAGGUACCAGCACGCCGCCUGCCAUAGCCGCCACGCCGGUCUCUGCCAUCCCGGCCACCCUCAGCGUCAACGGCUACAGCCCUGUCCCAACCCAGAGCACGGGGCAGCCCACCUCGGAGGCCAUUUACACCAAUGGCGUCCACCCAUACCCAGCACAGAGCCCAGCGGCCCCCGUGGACCCUUUGCAGCAGGCCUACGCCGGGAUGCAACACUAUACAGCCGCCUACCCCGCUGCCUACGGACUGGUCAGCCCCGCCUUCCCGCAACAGCCAGCCACCAUCAUCGCCCAGCAGCCGCCUCCUCAGCAGCAGCAGCAACGGGAAGGAGCUCAGAGCUGUUGGUCUUCACCAGGUCCCGAAGGAUGCAACAUCUUCAUCUAUCACCUGCCGCAGGAGUUCACGGACUCUGAGAUCCUGCAGAUGUUCCUGCCGUUCGGGAACGUCAUCUCCGCCAAAGUCUUUGUGGACCGGGCCACCAAUCAGAGCAAAUGUUUCGGAUUCGUAAGUUUCGACAAUCCUGCCAGCGCGCAAGCGGCCAUCCAGGCCAUGAACGGCUUCCAGAUCGGGAUGAAGCGGCUCAAAGUGCAGCUCAAGCGGCCCAAAGACGCCAACCGGCCGUACUGAACUGCCGCUCCGCCAGGGGUCCAAUCAUAUCUUGAGACGACUCUGCCGCUAAGGCCCCCUUCGCUGUCGCGGGAGACGUAGCUCCGCCCCCCUUGUCUGGAGCUCAAUGGAGGAGCAAUGUUCCCCCGCCCCUUUGAUUCUCUUCCCUUUCCCGCUCCCCGUUUCCCCCUCUCCCUGCUUUCUUCUUCCUUCCAUAGGAAAGUGACUCACCCCCCGGAGCCAAGGGAGCUCGCCGCUUUCCUCACGGGCUCAGAGGUUUCUUGCCGCAAUGGUCUUCUUUGUGAGAGUCGGGAUUCAGAGUCGGAUGGGCUUCACCAUAACCUGCCACCGCCUCCCGUUGGAUCCCGGCACUUUCCAAAACAACCGAGGUGCACUACAUUGGGGCAACGAAGGAGCAACCUUUAUCAAUGAAAGCUCCAAUUGAGAUGCAAAGAUCCUGUUUGGCACCACCUCACUUCCUUUCUCAGCAGAAGACCUUGGAAGGAUGGGCCAAUCCGAAGAGAACCCCAGUUACCAUUGGGGUCCUCACUCUCAACUUCAUUGUUUCUUUGCACUACAUAACACGAACCGGGGAUGCGGGGUUGCAACAACACUACCAGUAUGACUCUGGGUACAAGCCGCUCUCGGGGUUUUGUGGCAAGUAAUUUCCCCUCAGCCGUCCUAAUCUCAAGGGGGGAAUUGUUAUCGACCAAGUUGUAUCCGCUGUUGUAGGGAAGGGAGUAUUUCAAAGAGAAAGAAUCACAACUGAGAUUGGAAAAUGGAAGCAAGUGUCAACAUAUUUUUUGCCAUUUCUCAUCUGCAGCAUCUACAGAAGGGUGACUGAAUAAUGCUGCUCCACAAUCUUGUUUUGCUGACGUUCCUCCUCUUCUCCCAGAUCUUUCAAAUGGUCCUUUCCCAAACGUUCUCUCAGAUCAUUAAAAUGAUUCUUUCCCAAACUUCACUUCUUCAAUCAUAAUAAUAAUAAACUUUAUUUAUACCCUGCCACCAUCUCCCCAAAGGGGACUUGGGAGAGGCUUACAUGAGGCCAACCCUUGUACCCAGAAAGCUACCUUUAGCUGAGUUGUCCCAUAAGUCCACCCACAUCCUCAGGACUUCGGGUUGUGAGUCUCUCCCAGCUUCACCUCAAAACAUCUAGGAUGAAACCUGGGUACAGGACACAGGAUAAAUCCCACCUGUAACAAAACCCAAUCAUAUUUCUCUGAGCCCACCCUCAAUCCCGUAAAACCCUAGGAUAGGGUGCCAUAAGUCAGAAAUGACUUGAAGGCCCACAACAAGACAUGUCCCACCAACCCCAAAAGGACAACCUCCCAGUGAGCUUUUCUUUGCCCUCUUCUUUGGUGGGCAAAGAACCACCUUAGGGCAGAAAGUAGAUUUCUCAUAUCAAAUAUGGAUAUAUGAAGUCUCCUGUUCAAGAUUGAGGUGUUCGCUUCUUGUGGACAUAGGAAGACCUCAAAAGACUGUCAGGUAGACCUUCUCAAACAUUCCCUUGGCCCAGUUUGGGACUAUAGCUAGGGCUAUAAAGUAACAGAGACAGUGUUUCCUUUCCAUCCAUCAUAGCAAUUCCUUUGAGGAGUAGCCCACAAUAAUUCAGUCUACCCAUCCCAAGAUGGAGAGAAGAUCAGACAAGGCGGCCAUCUCAGGAUCUUGAUGUUAAGCUGCGAUAAAACCUGGGAUUUGCUCUUUUUCUGGUUUAGCCAACCUUCCAAUAUUCACAAACUCAUCUGAUGGCCAACAUAAAGUCCUCUGUGGCCAAGAGAACUGCAGAGCUCUCCUCUUGAACCUCCUCCUCACCGCUAUGCCAUUCCAAGGGGUCUACAGAUGGCACCCCGUCUUGGAUGUACGCAAUCCGAAGAUGACCGAAACACAACGAUUCCAACCCGUUCUGCUGUGGCUUGUGUUUCGGUUCGGAUCCUCGUCCAUUUUCUUCUCCCGUUGGGUGAGGAGGAAUGGUCACCUGAGAAGAUGUAUCUCCACCAACUGUCAUGCAAUGCUUCCGUUCUGACUUUCGUGUGCUUAAAUGGAGCUUAAAGGAAGUAAAAACCCAUCCGAAGGGAGCGACGCAAGGCUACUCACCAAAACAACCAGACAUUCGAAUACAGGGUGUCCUGCCUGAAAACCUUAAAGAGUCGGAAGGCGGUAUCGUUGAUCAACCAAAUACAUCCUUUCUAGGCAUUUUCUAGGUCCUCCGGCGCAACUCGGCUAAGAAUCUUUCCUUUUAAUAGGAUUUGCUUAUUCUCCACGAUUUUGUGUCUCCACAUCACGUCGGAGAACAUAACGGGGGCCGCAUUGUAAUUCCUGGGACACGCUCAGAACUUAGCGGAAGUCCUUGAAAAUCACUCUGAAACAGAGCGAAUUGUCCACUUCCUGUCUCUGAUUCCCAUACUUUGCUCCACAUAUACGGGCCUUUCCUUGCCUAUCCUUUCCUUUCCACACCUGCAAACAAACCCUCUUCAGGAACAUCUUGGUGUGUGUUAAGAUAAUCCUCCAAACUCUGACCAAUUGGCGGAGUCUAAGAAGCAUGGAGAACCCUAUGGUAGACCCUAUGGAGACUUCUCCCCUUACAGUCCCCCGGAUCCUUCCGGAAGACCCUUAAAAUAAGCCCAUUCCCAUGGAGAACCCUAUGGAGCCUUCUCCCCUUGCAGUCCCUCAGAUCCUUCUAGAAGACCCUUAAAAUAAGCCCAUUCCUAUGGAGAACCCCAUAGAGCCUUCUCCUCUUGCAGUCCCUCAGAUCCUUCCACAAGACCCAUAAAGAAAGCCCAUUCCUAUGGAGAACUCCAUGGAGAACCCUAUGGAGUCUUCUCCUCUUGCAGUCCCUCAGAUCCUUCCAGAAGGCCCUUAAAGAAAGCCCAUUCCUAUGGAGAACCCCAUGGAGAACCCUAUGGAGCCUUCUCCUCUUGCAGUCCCUCAGACCCUUAAAAUAAGCCCUUUCCUAGAAGAACCCUAUGAAGAACUCCAUGGAGGCUUCUCCUCUUAAAGUCCCUCAAAUCCUUCGGAAGACCCUUGAAAUAAGCCCAUUCCUAUGGAGAACCCUGUGGUAGACCCUAUGGAGCCUUCUCCUCUUAAAGUCCCUCAGAUUCUUCCAGAAGACCCUUAAAAUAAGCCCAAUCCUAGGAGAACCAUAUGGAGAACCCUAUGGAGCCUUCUCCUCAUGCAGUCCCUCAGAUCCUUCCAGAAGACCCUUAAAAUAAGCCCAUUCCUAGGAGAACCAUAUGGAGAACCCUAUGGAGCCUUCUCCCCUUGCAGUCCCUCAGAUCCUUCUAGAAGACCCUUAAAUAAUCCCAUUCCUAUGGAGAACCCCAUAGAGCCUUCUCCUCUUGCAGCCCCUCAGAUCCUUCCACAAGACCCUUAAAAUAAGCCCAUUCCUAUGGAGAACCCCAUGGAGAACCCUGUGGAGCCUUCUCCUCUUGCAGUCCCUCAGAUCCUUUGGAAGACCCUUAAAAUAAGCCCAUUCCUAGGAGAACCCUAUGGAGAACCCUAUGGAGACUUCUCCUCUUGCAGUCCCCCAAACCCUUCCAGAAGACGUUUAAGCCCAUUCCUAUGGAGAACCUUAUGGAGCCUUCUCCUCUUGAAGUCCCCCAGAUCCUCCUGCAAGACCCUUAAAGUAAGCCCAUUCCUAUGGAGAACUCUAUGGAGAACCCUAUGGAGACUUCUCCUCUUGCAAUCCCCCGGAUCCUUCUGCAAGACCCUUAAAACCGGAUCCGUUCCUUCAUUUACCUCGGUCCCCAUAAGGCAACAUCUCCCAACUUCCCGCCUCCGUCCCGUGAACUCCAAACCCGCAAAAAGCGCUCGGAAAUCAAGGGUUCUAUAACCGUAAAGAAAGAAAGACGGAAAGAAAUAUGUUUACAGUCUCUUUUGCUGAUUCAGUACUUGUAAAUAAUUCCAUUGCGAUUAGCUGCAAUUAAAUUUUAAACAGGGGGGGAAACGGGGUUGAAUCCAUUGCUGUUUUCUGAUUUUAGGGGGUUUUUACAAACUGUCUCUCUCUUUCUUUCAUCCUCUAUCCCUUCCUUCGACUCUCUCUCUUUUUUUAAUUUUCCCUUCUUAGGGUGGGAGGGGGGUUUACUACGCGGUCGAUUAAUUUAGAAGGACAAAAGAAAAAGGCAAAAAAAAAAGAGGAGGAGAAAAGAGAUGAACUUUUAGUGCUGGGGAUUUUAAAACAAAUGAAGAGUUGCAUUCUAUGUUUCAGACGAUAUCAAUGCUUAAGUUAUUGAUUAUUUAUUGCUGUUUACUUUUAAUAAUUUAAUUUUUUUUCUGUCUAAAUAAAAGAAUUGAAAAGCCA
Anolis sagrei ordinatus is the source of this 6611-nucleotide non-coding RNA. Lineage: Eukaryota; Metazoa; Chordata; Lepidosauria; Squamata; Anolidae. The record is from RefSeq and is a predicted model, not a curated record.